GGCACUGGCUGUGUGAUUUUGGAUCCAUUUUUCUUUCAGGACCCUGAACAGUGAAUCAGAGUCAUGAAUGACGGACCUUUUUGCAGUAUGGAAUUUAGUACAAGUUAUAUAAAAUUACUACAAAAUAAUUUAGAAGAUGGAAAUGCAUAUGCCACUGAGAACAAUCAACAUAAGGUGAAUGAGAUCAAGAAUUUCAUCAUCAGCAUCUUAGCCAAGCAUCUGCUCCCCAGGAAGCCAAAUGUCUUUUUUAUAACACCGCACGUCUCCUUGUAUGUGUGUGUCGUCUGAAUACCACAUGUGCUUGAAUGUUCCUUGGGGCCUACACUGCUGCAAUGCAAAUAAAUUGUCCCCAGGAUAACGGAUCCCAGGAAUUAGCUGGGGAACUUUUAAAAGAUCUAAGUCCCCAACUUUCAUCGAGACUCAUUUCAUCAGGCCGAGAGUCAUGAGCUUCUUAAAUAUCUUCCUCCUAGGGAUCUUGUGAUCUGUUUUAGGAACCACCAACAGGCCUCAUAAACUGCAGUUCCAUGGUCUGGUGUUAUAUGUUCGUACCUUUCCUUCUGACCAUGUUACCGUCUCAGCAGGAUGAGGGACUGGCACGCUUCCCUGGGCUUUAUAGAAUUCUACAUUAACACGAGCAGGAGCAACAUGUUAAUAGAGAUGUUGGAUUUUGAUUCUGGAAACUCAGAACAGAGGAUCUGGUGUUUUUUGGUUCAUCCUUCAUUAAUCAGUUUCUAACAUAAGACCUAUUUUCAGGUUUGGCUCAAAGUAGGGGACUCAAAAUUUAGGGCAGAGGAGGCAGGAAAAUGAGGUAACCUGCUUAUUCAUUAUCUGACCACUUCCUCAAACGAGGUUCCCCCAAGAAGAAUUUAAGUAAAUCCACUAAUUGAUUGCUAAUUACCAGUUGCUUGCUAAAUUAUGUAAUCAUUUACUUUAUUUAAAAAAUUAAAUCAGCAAAUAUUUACUAAGCAUUUACAGGAAACAGAGUCCUGUGCUUGCCAUGGGGCAGUAGCUUAGGAACUGUAACUUAUUCAUUUGGAAAGGACAAGGAGAAGGCAGAACAUCAGUCUGAUGGGUGACUUGUGUUUAAAGAAAUGGUUUUGAAUGUAG
RNAcentral lists this long non-coding RNA (1107 nucleotides) under Chinchilla lanigera (long-tailed chinchilla). Its description in RNAcentral is "lncRNA (ENSCLAG00000026519.1)". The record is from RNAcentral. Lineage: Eukaryota; Metazoa; Chordata; Mammalia; Rodentia; Chinchillidae.